RNAcentral lists this ribosomal RNA (262 nucleotides) under uncultured bacterium. RNAcentral's name for it is "partial 16S ribosomal RNA". It matches the Rfam family "Bacterial small subunit ribosomal RNA", at positions 793 to 1055 of the family's 1533-position model. The record is from RNAcentral.
GUCCACGCCGUAAACGAUGUCAACUAGCCGUCGGACUCCUUGAGGGUUUGGUGGCGCAGCUAACGCGAUAAGUUGACCGCCUGGGGAGUACGGCCGCAAGGUUAAAACUCAAAUGAAUUGACGGGGCCGCACAAGCGGUGGAGCAUGUGGUUUAAUUCGAUGCAACGCGAAGAACCUUACCAGGCCUUGACAUCCUGCGAACUUUCUAGAGAUAGAUUGGUGCCUUCGGGAGGCGCAGUGACAGGUGCUGCAUGGCUGUCGU